AUUGAACGCUGGCGGCAUGCCUUACACAUGCAAGUCGAACGGCAGCACGGGUGCUUGCACCUGGUGGCGAGUGGCGAACGGGUGAGUAAUACAUCGGAACGUACCUUAUCGUGGGGGAUAACGCAGCGAAAGCUGUGCUAAUACCGCAUACGCCCUGAGGGGGAAAGCGGGGGAUCGAAAGACCUCGCGCGAUUAGAGCGGCCGAUGCCUGAUUAGCUUGUUGGUGGGGUAAAAGCCCACCAAGGCGACGAUCAGUAGCUGGUUUGAGAGGACGAUCAGCCACACUGGGACUGAGACACAGCCCAGACUCCUACGGGAGGCAGCAGUGGGGAAUUUUGGACAAUGGGGGCAACCCUGAUCCAGCAAUGCCGCGUGAGUGAAGAAGGCCUUCGGGUUGUAAAGCUCUUUUGUCAGGGAAGAAACACCGGCUCUAACACAGUCCGGGAAUGACGGUACCUGAAGAAUAAGCACCGGCUAACUACGUGCCAGCCGCCGCGGUAA
Molecule: ribosomal RNA, 501 nt
Filed under: uncultured bacterium
Lineage: Bacteria
Description: partial 16S ribosomal RNA
Rfam family: Bacterial small subunit ribosomal RNA
Source: RNAcentral